GCAGGCUGCAACUCGCCUGCAUGAAGCUGGAAUCGCUAGUAAUCGCAGAUCAGAAUGCUGCGGUGAAUACGUUCCCGGGUCUUGUACACACCGCCCGUCACACCAUGGGAGUCGGAAAUGCCCGAAGCCGGUGACCCAACCAAAAGGAGGGAGCCGUCGAAGGCAGGUCUGAUAACUGGGGUGAAGUCGUAACAAGGUAAC
RNAcentral lists this ribosomal RNA (201 nucleotides) under uncultured bacterium. Its description in RNAcentral is "partial 16S ribosomal RNA". It matches the Rfam family "Bacterial small subunit ribosomal RNA", at positions 1300 to 1500 of the family's 1533-position model. The record is from RNAcentral.